RNAcentral lists this transfer RNA (96 nucleotides) under Streptomyces collinus. Its description in RNAcentral is "tRNA-His". Lineage: Bacteria; Bacillati; Actinomycetota; Actinomycetes; Kitasatosporales; Streptomycetaceae. RNAcentral also lists the same sequence under 1 other name. The record is from RNAcentral.
CCGGCAGUUGGGAGAAGGACGGAUCAAGGUGUGGAGUGGGCACACGGCGGAGCAGCGCGAGCUCGUGGCGCGGUCGUUCGGCGGAGCCCUGCCGGG